UACGAAGGGUGCAAGCGUUACUCGGAAUUACUGGGCGUAAAGCGUGCGUAGGUGGUUGUUUAAGUCUGUUGUGAAAGCCCUGGGCUCAACCUGGGAAUUGCAGUGGAUACUGGGCGACUAGAGUGUGGUAGAGGGUAGUGGAAUUCCCGGUGUAGCAGUGAAAUGCGUAGAGAUCGGGAGGAACAUCCAUGGCGAAGGCAGCUACCUGGACCAACACUGACACUGAGGCACGAAAGCGUGGGGAGCAAAC
RNAcentral lists this ribosomal RNA (250 nucleotides) under uncultured bacterium. Its description in RNAcentral is "partial 16S ribosomal RNA". It matches the Rfam family "Bacterial small subunit ribosomal RNA", at positions 524 to 773 of the family's 1533-position model. The record is from RNAcentral. RNAcentral also lists the same sequence under 1 other name.